This 976-nucleotide long non-coding RNA is filed under the name Olea europaea subsp. europaea. Lineage: Eukaryota; Viridiplantae; Streptophyta; Magnoliopsida; Lamiales; Oleaceae. The record is from RNAcentral.
GUUUAUAGCCUCACGCACAUAAUUUUCUUUCUGACUUAAGCAUCGGAGGGGCGACGAGAACAUAGCUCGUUGCCUUGAUUUCAAGUACAUGAAGACUACGAUCGUGCUCAUUCAAAAUUCUCAAGCUCGAAAAAUCAACAGGUACGAUUUUUGGUAGCAUAAUUGGCGCUGUCUGUGGGAAACGCUACCAAAAGUGAUGGUUAACACACGAUCCGGUCUUCCUCCUACAAGCUCAUCCGCCCCCAUCCCUUAUCCUGCUGAAGAUUAAUCGGCUCCUCAAGAAAAGUCGUCAGGAGUGCCCGCACCUCAGCCGGCGGCCAUCACAACUGAAGCCUUCGAAGAACUCCGUCAGCAGGUGGUCACACUAAUGCAACUGUUAAGUUAAAGAAAUUCGUAUUCGUUACCGGUGCAAGUAGAGCAUGGUAAUUUUAUGGCUGAUGCUCGAGCCCGAGCACCAAACCUGGCAACAGGUAGAGUAGGGACCACGGGUAUUCGUAACAUGGCCUCGGGCUCGAGAUCGGUUGCUAUGGAUUCCAAAGAGAUUGCCUGGAUCAUUCAGGAAGGAAUUACGGCUGGCCUGCAACGAAAUGCUCGGAGGCCAACAGGUUUUACCCCUAACACUCCAUUCACACCGGAGAUAUUGUCAGAUCCCCUGCCCGACAGAUUCAAAUAUCCUCGCAUUAAGUAGUAUGAUGGGACGAUUGAUCCAAUUAAUCAUCUCAAUUAUUAUUAUUUAUGUGUUCAUGCGCCAUCUGUUAUUGUUUAUAAAAUUUUGAUAAGUUGCGUAUUUGGUGGCUCAUAUAUAGCUCACAAUUGAUUAUUCAGUAUAAGUGAGGUGAUUUACAUUUUUUUUAUUUUACUAUAUUUUUAACAGUAUAUCUUGAAUAAAAUUAAUGACAAAAUAAUUCCUGAAAUUAUAUCAAGUACUAGGUAUGUAAUUUCAUCUAAAAAAAAUAUCUAUUAUUCUAUAUCAAAU